This 324-nucleotide ribosomal RNA is filed under the name uncultured eukaryote. RNAcentral's name for it is "partial 18S ribosomal RNA". It matches the Rfam family "Eukaryotic small subunit ribosomal RNA", at positions 1470 to 1796 of the family's 1831-position model. The record is from RNAcentral.
CCCUUAGAUGUCCUGGGCUGCACGCGCGCUACACUGAUGUGUCCAGUAAGCACCUAACCUCUUCCGAAAGGAACGGGUAACCUUUGCAAAGCACAUCGUGAUGGGGAUAGAUUAUUGCAAUUAUUAGUCUUGAGCGAGGAAUUCCUAGUAAGCACAAGUCAUCAGCUUGUGUUGAUUACGUCCCUGCCCUUUGUACACACCGCCCGUCGCUCCUACCGAUUGAAUGUUCCGGUGAGCUCUUCGGACUGCGCGGUCUGCAGUUUCUGCGUUCCGUGCGGAAAGUUGCGCAAACCUUAACAUUUAGAGGAAGGAGAAGUCGUGACA